RNAcentral lists this ribosomal RNA (1059 nucleotides) under Triticum aestivum (bread wheat). Its description in RNAcentral is "partial small subunit ribosomal RNA". Lineage: Eukaryota; Viridiplantae; Streptophyta; Magnoliopsida; Poales; Poaceae. The record is from RNAcentral.
AUGUUUAAUCAAUCUGGAGGACGAGUAAAACAGUUUGAAGCUCGUUGGCUCAAAGAAGAGACAGUCCUAGAAAUAGAGGGUCAUUACUCCGAGAAGGGGGCACCUUCUGUCAAGGUUUCUGAUCUCAUUGAUCCAAUCACGAAUUCUUGGGAUGAAGAUUUGGUGAAUCAAACGUUGUGGCCAAUUGAUGCUCAAAGGGUGCUCGCAAUUCCCCUCCCAAUGCAUAAUAUGUCGGAUUUCAUUGCUUGGAGUUAUACAAAAAAUGGUGUUUUCACUGUAUGGUCAGCUUAUUUGGAGGAAUGGAACAAGCAACAUGGAACAAAAUUGCAACAUGCUGAUGGCAUGGGAAGAAUCAAGGCUAAUCCUAUUUGGGGUAAGGCACAUGAAAGUAUCGCCCAAUUGCCCAUCAUGCUCGAAGGAGGCUGUCAAAAGGCAAAAAAGAUAUGGGGCAAGUUAGGAUUACAUGAGAUGAUCAAUAAAACUUGUGCUACUGAUCGUGCGGGAGAGACGUUUUUGGAAUUCUUACUACUUAUGCCAGAACAAGAAUUAGCGAUAAUGGAUUCUUCAAAAGCACGUGAACCGAUCAGUGUUACAGCCUGGUACUUAUGGUGGGAUAGACGCAAACUGGUUCAUGAAGGAAAAUUUCAAGAUGCAAACCAAAUUUCCAUGGGUGCCCGGGCUAUAAUAGCUAACUAUGUUAAUGCACACUCCCCUAAGGCAACUACUAAAUCAGGAGGAUCGGGAGGAUGGGCAAGACCUCCUAUGGGUUUUGUUAACCUUAAUGUUGAUACCUCUUAUGACCAUGAUUUACUUAGGGGCACAACUGGAGCUGUUCUCAGAGAUGAUAAUGGAAGAUCAUUGUUGCCAACGGAUCAGAUGCACGCACAGGCUUCACCGAACGGAUCACAGGAGGACAUCGAACGGCUGCCGUUGCACCAUCAGCAAGCCGUCCACUCCGGAGCACAGCUCGCCAGUCGCCGCCACUACGCCUCCGUCCCCCGAUCAGCCAUGGCGGGUGAAACCCUCGCGGCCUCCCCCGCCUCGUCACCAAAACCCUAA